This 279-nucleotide ribosomal RNA is filed under the name uncultured bacterium. Its description in RNAcentral is "partial 16S ribosomal RNA". It matches the Rfam family "Bacterial small subunit ribosomal RNA", at positions 506 to 784 of the family's 1533-position model. The record is from RNAcentral.
UGCCAGCAGCCGCGGUAAUACGGAGGGGGUUAGCGUUGUUCGGAAUUACUGGGCGUAAAGCGCACGUAGGCGGACUGGAAAGUUGGGGGUGAAAUCCCGGGGCUCAACCCCGGAACUGCCUCCAAAACUUCCAAUCUAGAGAUCGAGAGAGGUAAGUGGAAUUCCUAGUGUAGAGGUGAAAUUCGUAGAUAUUAGGAGGAACACCAGUGGCGAAGGCGGCUUACUGGCUCGAUACUGACGCUGAGGUGCGAAAGCGUGGGGAGCAAACAGGAUUAGAUA